UGUGUUUCUUUGUAGAAUAGACUGAUGUACUGUGUGCUUGAUUUUUACAAGAUGAGCACAAUACCUUAUCUUUCUUCUUUAUUAAAAAAAAGGAAAAAUCCAAACACAAGAUUAAUAUCUCGUCAUGGACUGUGCCCCGCUCGAGCCUCUCCACAGGCAGCCGGAAGGAAAGUGGAGGGAGCUGCUCCUUUCCGUAGCCGGGGUGCCCACCCCAACCAGGCUGCCUCUGCCACCCAAGACAGAGGUUCUCUGAUAAUAAUUUGUGGGGCUUGUUUCCAGAGACCACACCUGAAGCUGCCAACUCCCCGGAGGGAAGGUCCUGAUUAAUGGCCGAUGAAUUUCUCCUUAAGGCCCUGAAACUGCCUACUCAGAACCAAGCCAGUUUUUCCUGCCUGUCCUGUUUGGGCAGGCAGAGGAGGCAGCUAGAAACCCAUUAUGCAGGGGAUGGGGACCAAACCAAUGCACAACUCCUACGUACUGAUGGUGGUCUUACGUUUCCCUAAGUUUCUGCCGACUAAACUGUGCACACGUUCUCAGGACCUCCUGAAGCUGCGUCACAGGCGCUGAUCAAAGAACACAACCAAGGUGAGUGUCAAUCAUUUCAAGAAAUCUAUUUGCAAGGUUAAGGACACACCUGAGAAAAGAACAGAGAACCACAGGAAAAACUGUGGUCCGUGCUUUUCCCAAAGAUUGUCUGGGGGCCUCAGUAAGUAAAGGGGAAAAGUGCGGGUAUUGGGGAAAGGGGAAGAAGUGGAAAAAAUGGGUGUGGGUAAAUCAGAGGCAAAUGGUUGCAUUCUUCUGUCUUUGGUCAGUGUUCACUGAAUACACAUUUUACAUGCGAGGGAGGUAGAGGCAGGGAUGUAGCUUUUUUAUCUUUGUGUAAUAGCUAUCUUAUUUAGGAACCAGAUGGGAAGCAGGUUUGCAUAAGCCAGUUCCCAGCUUGGCUUUUCCCUUUGGCUUAGUGAGUCUGGGGUCCCAGGAUUUAUUUUCCGUUCUCACAGGUUGUGGUCCUCACAUUUGGCUCAAAAUAUUCAAAAUUUUUUCCAGAGUUUGGCCUUUUCUUCAGCACUGGGAAUUGUGAUCCAAAGCUUUUCCUGAUGAGGCACAAAGUUGGAGAAACAAAACGCAAACUAAGCAACAAUGAAACAGAACAGAGUGAAUCUGCUGUAGCUCAAGAGAGGACGUAGCUGCCCCCACCCCGCAUCCCCGGGCUCGGGUUUGCCUUGCUGACCUCUGCUGCCACCUGGUGCCGCACAGAGAAACUGAGGAGAAACCACAUCAGUCUCCUUCAGCCUCAGCUUCACAUCUGUGGGUCAAGCAACCCUUUCAGAAGCUGAAUAAUGUGGGAAAGCUUUCCUCUCAGGAAAAUGCACACAUCCAACUUUGAGA
RNAcentral lists this long non-coding RNA (1389 nucleotides) under Homo sapiens (human). RNAcentral's name for it is "PREDICTED lncRNA (TCONS_00012730)". Lineage: Eukaryota; Metazoa; Chordata; Mammalia; Primates; Hominidae. The record is from RNAcentral.